Molecule: ribosomal RNA, 497 nt
Filed under: uncultured bacterium
Lineage: Bacteria
Description: partial 16S ribosomal RNA
Rfam family: Bacterial small subunit ribosomal RNA
Source: RNAcentral
GAUGAACGCUGGCGGCGUGCCUAAUACAUGCAAGUCGAGCGAACAGAUGAGGAGCUUGCUCCUCUGACGUUAGCGGCGGACGGGUGAGUAACACGUGGAUAACCUACCUAUAAGGCUGGGAUAACUUCGGGAAACCGGGGCUAAUACCGGAUAAUAUAUUGAACCGCAUGGUUCAAUAGUGAAAGACGGUUUUGCUGUCACUUAUAGAUGGAUCCGCGCCGCAUUAGCUAGUUGGUAAGGUAACGGCUUACCAAGGCAACGAUGCGUAGCCGACCUGAGAGGGUGAUCGGCCACACUGGAACUGAGACACGGUCCAGACUCCUACGGGAGGCAGCAGUAGGGAAUCUUCCGCAAUGGGCGAAAGCCUGACGGAGCAACGCCGCGUGAGUGAUGAAGGUCUUCGGAUCGUAAAACUCUGUUAUUAGGGAAGAACAAAUGUGUAAGUAACUAUGCACGUCUUGACGGUACCUAAUCAGAAAGCCACGGCUAACUACGUG